GGAUGUGAGAGAGAUCUGGCUGCAGCAUGUGUUACUCCACUGGAGGUCAGGACUGAUUCAGCUGAUCUGGCUGCUUAGGCAAGUGUCUCCUGCCUCCUCCACUUCUCCAUGUAUGUCCCUCCCAAAGCUGUGCACUCACUAAAAGAGCAAGACCUCCCUUUAUGAUAGAGUACUGCUCUUUGAUCAAGAGUAUACUCAGAGGUGUGCUACCCUGCUAUAAUCUCAGAACAGGCUCUCAAAGGCACAAUUAUUUAAUACGUACAGGCUGAGGCGUGAUGGCAAGAAGACAUUGUGGGUCUGUGUUUUCUU
This 309-nucleotide small nuclear RNA is filed under the name Meriones unguiculatus (Mongolian gerbil). Its description in RNAcentral is "7SK RNA (ENSMUGG00000010395.1)". It matches the Rfam family "7SK RNA". Rfam says of the family: 7SK was discovered as an abundant small nuclear RNA in the mid-70s but a possible function has only recently been suggested. The record is from RNAcentral. Lineage: Eukaryota; Metazoa; Chordata; Mammalia; Rodentia; Muridae.